Molecule: long non-coding RNA, 2708 nt
Filed under: Sus scrofa (pig)
Lineage: Eukaryota; Metazoa; Chordata; Mammalia; Artiodactyla; Suidae
Description: lncRNA (ENSSSCG00050052117.1)
Source: RNAcentral
GAAUACUACUCAGCCAUAAAAAAGGAUGACAUAAUGCUAUUUGCAGCAACAUGGAUGGAACUAGAGAAUCUCAUACGGAGUGAAAUGAGCCAGAAAGACAAAGACAAAUACCAUAUGAUAUCACUUAUAACUGGAAUCUAAUAUCCAGCACAAAUGAACAUCUCCUCAGAAAAGAAAAUCAUGGACUUGGAGAAGAGACUUGUGGUUGCCUGAUGGGAGGGGGAGGGAGGAGUGGGAGGGAUCGGGAGCUUGGGCUUAUCAGACACAACCUAGAAUAGAUUUACAAGGAGAUCCUGCUGAAUAGCAUUGAGAACUAUGUCUAGAUACUCAUGUUGCAACAGAAGAAAGGGUAGGGGAAAAAACUAAUUGCAAUGUAUACAUGUAAGGAUAACCUGACCCCCUUGCUGUACAGUGGGAAAAAUAAAUAAAUAAAUAAAUAAAAGUGUUGGCUACAAGGACUUGUGAAAGUACUUUUGUGGCUCAUGUGACAUUUCUAUUGGAUAGUUUGGUCUAGGUACUCCCAAGGUCACUGCACGGUCCUCAUGCUCGAUCCAGGAGACAAAGAGCCUUCUGAUAAAAACUGCUUAUUAGCUUCUCGAAUACAAAAUAUAUACUCUCUGUAGAGUUGUUCCCCCUCAUUAUCACUUUUGUAGCAUUUUGUAGCUGCAAAGGAUUCCACCAUCUUUUCAUCAAUUACUCCUCAGGACAUAGUCUGUGAGGCAAGUCACUGCUAAAUUAUGAGACUCGUUAAAGAGAUCGUUAUCAUUCAAAGAGCUGUGGAGGCCUCCACAGACGCACACCCUCACACUGUGGUAAAAUGGGAUUGCAAAGGAAUGGCAAGAAUUACAAAGCAGAGGCUGGAGCAAAGUGGAGGCUGACUCAGAGUAACUUAGGCUUGCUAGUCAAGUCCUCCCCUAAGAAAAGCUAACUGAGUGGUUCCUCUGCUCCAUGUAGCAUCACCUCUCCCCACUGCCUGUGUUUUCUUAGAGGCAAAUUGAGAGACUCAAGGAACCCUUCCAAUAUUUUAAACUCAGUUGUCAGGAAAUGAGAGCUCUUUCAGCAUCAGGCCACUCUCUCUCCUCUUGCUUAACAAAAGACAGUGAAAGGCAGUUCCUCAGAUGUCGGUUUGUUGUGAGCCACACGGGAAGUCCAGCCUCAGAUGUCUAUUUGUCCUCACUCUGACUUAAAAAUCAGCUCAGGAAAUUAUCUGUCAAUCCAGUAUAUUACAGAGAGAAACAGUCAUGGAAUCACCCUAGUUGAGAUGUUUCAAAUGACAAUUUCAUACUGCACCUCUUCAAUUAUUCAAGACAACACAAACCUGCUCUCAUCUUUAAAAAGAUUUUAGGAUUAAGGAAGCUUGGCACUCUGUGUUUCAAAUAUUUAGUCUUACUUGAAGAACCCAACUCUUCCAGGAGACUCAGAAAGUGUUCUAUUAACAGAAAGAAGCCCCUUGAUGUGAGGAAUGGUUCAGGCGGUAAAGACAGAUGAUUACUUAUAUGUUAUGUGUAUGGUCACUCUUUCAUUUCAGGGUUUUGUUUUGAUGGGGUGCAGAAAGUUCCCAUUCAGCUAAAUUCAAAUAAAUAGGGAGCACCUGCUGAAGUUAGGCACAAUGCCAGGCACUAAGGGUGCAGAAUACAAAGACACAGUCCUAGGUCUAGCUUGGACUAAAAUAGAAAUAAAUGAAUAUUCCCUCUACAUAUCUAUCAUUAUUACUUUAUUGAUUUCAUGCAUACAGCUCAUUGUUUUGCUAUUUCCUUGCUUGCAAGGCACCAUUCCAGGUGUGAGGUCUUUGGUACAUUUUUACAGUAUAAAAGGCAUAUUUAAAUUUAAUUUUAGUAUGAGAGAGAGGGAUAUUUUACACACAAUAGUGAAAAGUCUUUUGAAUCUACAUGUAGUAAUCAAACAAAAAAUGCCUUUUUGAAUGAAUGAAUGCCUCUUUGAAAGUGAAACUGUUUUGUUUAUAAUGCAAUAUGAAUGCAUAUUUCAGGCUGUUUAAGCAGGGUUUUCCCUACACUGGGACAAAGGAUUUAUUUAUUUUUUUCUUGAAAGAGACUUGAGGAUACUCAUCCAUUUCAUUAGACACCGACAAUUUUUUAUUUAGAUUUUUUACAUGCCAGACUGUAGCUAGUCAGAUUUGUAUGAACAUAAAUAUCAGGCUAUGAAAGUAAGUCUAUCAAAGGUUCAGAGUAAGGUACUAUUACUUAAAGGCUAGGAACAAACUUUAUAAACACUUGAAAUUUCACCUCAGUCCUUGGUUAAAGCCUCUGCUUUUUCUCUGGAUUCAAGAAAGACUUUUUUUUUUUUCAUUUAAAAAAAUAUCCCCAAAUAGCACUAUUUAUCUAGUUGUCUACUUCUCUAAGGAGAGAUCUUCACCCUGCUGCACAUUCCACACCAGACCCCAUAGUAAGGCUUACCUGUCUUUAGUUUCCAGCUGAUAUUAUUAAAGCUAAUACUACACUAGUCAUGGGGAUUCUGCCCCAAUGUACAUGGGUAUUUCUGUGUGUUUGGGAGAGACUUUCUCAGGCCCACUUUUUGCAUCAUCUGGCAUUCAGUUUUCCUGCUUUUCCAGCUAGGCUGUUUCCUCUCUCCUGUCACCCAUAAGAAGGAUGUGGCUCCCUGUUUUGAGUACAUAAAUGGCUUAGAUUUUCACCCUUCCCUGUCCUCUGUCCAAUCAUGUUGCAGUGCCUUCCUUCCAUGGAUGGAGUACA